Molecule: long non-coding RNA, 1439 nt
Organism: Brassica oleracea var. oleracea
Lineage: Eukaryota; Viridiplantae; Streptophyta; Magnoliopsida; Brassicales; Brassicaceae
Exons: 6
Source: RefSeq, a predicted model, not a curated record
UUGCUACAAAUCUGUGUGAUGGGGUAGAGAAGGUGGCAGUAACACUGUUUUGCGGACCAAAAGAGAGUUACUGUAACACCAGACAAAAUCCGCCCUAAGCCACCCGCUGAUGACAGAGAAAAGAAGUUUGAGAUGAUGGAUAAUGUUGAGGCAUUUUACAGUAAAGGCUGGAGCAGUGGACAAGUCAGAAUGAUUCUGGGUGAGAACACAUUUUCUGUUUAUCUGAAUAGCUGGAUGGAAACACUUGAAUUCAAAGCUUCAGAUUUGAGAAUUCAUAGAGAAUGGCUAGAUGGAGUGUGGAAGAUGGCAGAUGGGACUCCAUUGCAUGAGACAGCUUCCAAACAAGAUGAAGCCAAUCCAGAUCAGACGCAGCAGGAUACUAAGGAGCCUAUGAAUGAGAACAUUUCAAAAAACAUUUCAGACACAGCGCCUUACUCGAGCCCGCGCAAAAAAUUUAAGAGAGCAAAAUAAGAACGAAGAACCCAGAGUUCAAACUCACUUUGAUGUCAGUGCUAAUGUGGAGAUUGCAUCAAAAGAUGAAGACAAAUAUGUGAAAUGGUAUCCAGGAAUUGUGUUGAAGACAGAUAUUCGAAAUGGGGUUGAGUUGUUGAAGGUUGAGUACUCAACAUAGUUUCGGGACAGAGAGAAAAGGACAAAGAAACUUCAGGAAAGUGUGUCCAUUGACAGUAUCCGUCCUCAACCACCACCUGGAGAUACAAAUGGUUUUGACCUGACGGAUAAGGUGGAGGCGUACCACAAUGACGGUUGGUGCAGUGGAGAAGUUCAUAUAAUUUUAAGUAAUGACAUAUAUUCUGUCCGUUUCAACAGUUCUACUGAAUUCAUUCUGAUCUGCGCAUACCUAAAAAAUGGGUAGAUGGUGUUUGGAAGAUGGAAAAAAGAGGGGAAGCCUGUUGUUGGUAUGAAGAGGAAAGCAACUGCCCAGCCAGUAGAUCGUCUUGCUUUUCUUCAACGAGAAGAGAAGAGGCCAAUAGUACCUAGAAACCCUCCUAUGUCUGUAACACCUGAGGUUAUCCUUCCUAUUGAUCCAUUUGUGACACCUGAAUUUCCUCUGUUUUCAAGGCUUGGAUAUUGGAUGCAGCUAUGUGGCAUACAUUAUGUGUAAGCAAAUUAUGUCCUUGUAUAAAAUAUUCGUAAUUUAUUUUGACAGAGAUUGAUUAAUCAUUUAACUUUUUUCAAGUAGAGGCCUCUCUAUAUCAAUGGAAACAAAAUAGAGAAAUAUUUCUUUGAAUACCUUGACUAUGCAGAAAAAAUCUCAAAGAAAAGCACGUAGAUGUUGCAUUUGCAAUGCUAAAUCAAAAGAGAAUUGAGCAAUCUUCUUGGUUCAGCGAGCAAGGUAUCCCAAAAGCUUGGUUUGUACCAGUCCAGUUCUUAGAAAUGGUUGGAUACAGUUAUGAAAAUCUCCAGAAGCCAGAUAAAAA